CCUGGGCGGGGCCGGGGGCCGAGCACAGACAAGCUGGGCCGGGGGUCGGCGACGGCCGCGGCUGCUGAAGGAAAGUUGCCGGGAUCUGAGCGCCAGCAACCGCCUGAGCCGGAGCCGCCGGAUGAGGACCGCUCUGCAGGGAAGGGCGCGACCUUCGGAGACGCAGCUGGACCGCCCGACUGGACUGCGCAGGGUCGCCCCGGAGCGUGGAGCAGCCGGCGGGGGCCGCGGGCUGGCGGCGUGACUCAGGGUGCGCUCCAAAUACGCAGCCCCGGGGCGGGGCGGGGCGGGGCGCCCUGCCUGGUUUAGGCGCGGAUGGCCCAGGGCAGGCGAGGAGCCGGGCCUCAGCUCCGCAGGUACAGAAGAAAGGCCCGCCCGGAAGAGGCCUCUGCGCAGCUUGUGAGCAGCCGCAUCUUCCAGGUCUGGCUGGCUGUGUGCCCACUGAUGUCAUGUGGAGAAUGUUCUUAAGCUGCUCCAGGGGUCUCCGGAAUGCUGCCCAGCACUGCGCUCCAUCUCACAGGUCCCAGCACAAGGUGUGGGGUGUCUGCCACGGUCUCAUUGCUCCUAAGCCCCCUGGUAGAGAGUUAGGAGAUAUUGAAUCCUGCUGGAUCUUCAUCGUCUAAAGUUUUGCUUGGAUCCCAAGAGUUCUCCACUAUCACUUGGACUGACCUCAGAAAAUCUUGCUAUUGACUCUCCCCAUUUAUAUCUGACAAUUGGCUGGAGUCUGACUGAUGAAGACAUCAAAAAUGUUGACAUGAUUGGUGAAGAUAGAUGCCGCCUUUUCCCACAGGACUAAUUCGUUAGAGAUGAGUUUAGCAGUGGAUAUUGUCUUACACUGACAACUUUCCAUCUUUGUGUAAUCCCAUAACAUGAGAAAAUCAGACACCAAAUAUAUGGAUAUUGAAGAUCCUACAGAAAUAUAAAUAAAAAGUCCAAUGUGUAA
Equus caballus (horse) is the source of this 943-nucleotide long non-coding RNA. RefSeq lists it as uncharacterized. Lineage: Eukaryota; Metazoa; Chordata; Mammalia; Perissodactyla; Equidae. The record is from RefSeq and is a predicted model, not a curated record.